This 129-nucleotide small nucleolar RNA is filed under the name Carlito syrichta (Philippine tarsier). Its description in RNAcentral is "Small nucleolar RNA U3 (ENSTSYG00000031614.1)". It matches the Rfam family "Small nucleolar RNA U3", at positions 85 to 214 of the family's 219-position model. Rfam says of the family: Small nucleolar RNAs (snoRNAs) are involved in the processing and modification of rRNA in the nucleolus. There are two main classes of snoRNAs: the box C/D class, and the box H/ACA class. U3 snoRNA is a member of the box C/D class. The record is from RNAcentral. Lineage: Eukaryota; Metazoa; Chordata; Mammalia; Primates; Tarsiidae.
AGGAGUCACAGCGUUUUCUCCUGAGCGUGAAGCCAGCAUUUGGUGUUGUUUUCGUUGCAACUGCCAUCUGCUAUUGAUGAUCGUUCUUACUCUUCUCAGGGAGAGUUAGAGGGAGAGAAUGCAUUCUGA